RNAcentral lists this small nuclear RNA (22 nucleotides) under Arabidopsis thaliana (thale cress). Its description in RNAcentral is "snRNA_14700". Lineage: Eukaryota; Viridiplantae; Streptophyta; Magnoliopsida; Brassicales; Brassicaceae. The record is from RNAcentral.
GCCGCUCACGCCCGGUCGUACU